This 906-nucleotide ribosomal RNA is filed under the name Nannocystis pusilla. Its description in RNAcentral is "bacterial SSU rRNA". It matches the Rfam family "Bacterial small subunit ribosomal RNA", at positions 19 to 926 of the family's 1533-position model. The record is from RNAcentral. Lineage: Bacteria; Pseudomonadati; Myxococcota; Nannocystales; Nannocystaceae.
UAGGCUCAGAGCGAACGUUUGCGGCGGGCCUAACACAUGCAAGUCGAACGGGCUAGCAAUAGUCAGUGGCGCACGGGUGCGUAACACGUAGGUAAUCAACCCCUUGGUUCGGGAUAACGUUCUGAAAGGAGCGCUAAUACCGGACGCGUCUUCGGGAGCUUCGGCUCCUGUCGAGAAAGACCCGCAAGGGUUGCCGAGGGACGAGCCUGCGGCCCAUCAGCUAGUUGGCGAGGUAAUAGCUCACCAAGGCGAAGACGGGUAGCUGGUCUGAGAGGAUGAUCAGUCACACUGGAACUGAGACACGGUCCAGACUCCUACGGGAGGCAGCAGUGGGGAAUAUUGCGCAAUGGGCGAAAGCCUGACGCAGCCACGCCGCGUGAGCGAUGAAGGCCUUCGGGUCGUAAAGCUCUGUGGGGAGAGACGAAGAAAGCCUGUGAAGAGCAGGCCUUGACGGUAUCUCCUUAGCAAGCACCGGCUAACUCCGUGCCAGCAGCCGCGGUAAUACGGAGGGUGCGAACGUUGCUCGGAAUCAUUGGGCGUAAAGCGCACGUAGGCGGCGGCGUAAGCGGGAUGUGAAAGCCCAGGGCUCAACCCUGGAAGUGCAUCCCGAACUGCGUCGCUUGAAUCUCGGAGGGGGACAGAGAAUUCCCGGUGUAGAGGUGAAAUUCGUAGAUAUCGGGAGGAAUACCAGUGGCGAAGGCGCUGUCCUGGACGAAGAUUGACGCUGANGUGCGAAAGCGUGGGGAGCAAACAGGAUNAGAUACCCUGGUAGUCCACGCUGUAAACGAUGAGUGCUGGACGGUGGAGGANUUGACCCCUUCGCUGUCGAAGCUAACGCGUUAAGCACUCCGCCUGGGGANUACGGUCGCAAGACUAAAACUCAAAGGAAUUGACGGGGGCCCGCAC